CUGAGGACGCCCAGCUCCCAGGGCAGUGGCAGGUCCCAGAGGGAAGGGCAGUGGGGAGAUGAAAAGCUGGGAUGCAUGGAUGGAUGGGUGGAUGGUGGCCAAAGCAAGGACUUGGCAACGGGCAAAUAGGAAAGUAUUUUCCUGCACACCUGCAACAUGGACUGGAGAAAGGUGUUAACCCAGCAUGAAUGACCUGGGGUCCUCACCUCCAGAAGAACUACCAGGAUCGCCAGUGCAGAGAAGUGCAGGGUGACUGAUGGGAUGGAAGGACUGAUGGGACACUGCUGGAGCCCAGCCUUUUGGAUUGUCCUUUGCUUGAUCUCUUCCGUACUCAACCCCAGCACUGGCUGUUUCCCACUGCACCCCACCCCCACUCUUCCCCCUCUUUCCUUCUUGCCCUCUUUCCUAUCCCUAUCUCUCUACCCUGCAUUUAUUGUUAAAUAAAAUCCCUUUUGUUGACUUUG
Molecule: long non-coding RNA, 464 nt
Organism: Passer domesticus (house sparrow)
Lineage: Eukaryota; Metazoa; Chordata; Aves; Passeriformes; Passeridae
Exons: 2
Source: RefSeq, a predicted model, not a curated record